RNAcentral lists this ribosomal RNA (253 nucleotides) under uncultured bacterium. RNAcentral's name for it is "partial 16S ribosomal RNA". It matches the Rfam family "Bacterial small subunit ribosomal RNA", at positions 524 to 776 of the family's 1533-position model. The record is from RNAcentral.
UACAGAGGGUGCGAGCGUUAAUCGGAAUUACUGGGCGUAAAGCGCGCGUAGGCGGCUUGUUAAGUCGGAUGUGAAAUCCCUGGGCUCAACCUAGGCAUUGCAUUCGAUACUGGCAAGCUAGAGUAUGGGAGAGGAAGGUAGAAUUCCAGGUGUAGCGGUGAAAUGCGUAGAGAUCUGGAGGAAUACCGAUGGCGAAGGCAGCCUUCUGGGCUAAUACUGACGCUGAGGUGCGAAAGCAUGGGGAGCAAACAGG